Molecule: long non-coding RNA, 4618 nt
Filed under: Lupinus angustifolius (narrow-leaved blue lupine)
Lineage: Eukaryota; Viridiplantae; Streptophyta; Magnoliopsida; Fabales; Fabaceae
Description: long non-coding RNA (LANG_LNC003021)
Source: RNAcentral
GAAAAUUAACAAAAUUGUCAAAAUACACAAGACAUUAUGGAUGAGUAAGAUUGAUGGUCAAACCUGUAAAAAGCAUGUUGUAAUUGUUAUAGUUCAAACAUUCUUCAAUUUCUUCAUCUUAGAAGGUGGCCAUCUACCCUUCUUCCUCAACUUUCGCUUCCUGACUAGCCUUUUCCUCCUCAACCUUAUCUUCUUAGCUAGCUUCAUCCUCAACCUCUGUUCCUCCCUCUCCUUCAGCUUCGAUUCCAACGGGAGCUUGUCAACCGCGACGACCUCUUUCGUGGUCUCCGAAGGAGGAAGAGCAGACUGAGACCCACCACCUUCCUCUGGUGAACUUGUUCCAUCAACACCAUCCCCAAUUGCACCAGCUGUCACCGCAUUGUUCCUCCUCUUGGAGGCAAUGGGUGUCGAGAUUUGAACUUGUCUCAAACAAUUGGUGGGCAGACCAACAACAGGGUUAAGAUGCACCCUUGAAACUGAGAAACCAACAACAUAGACACAACAAAUUUUUAGGACAACUGGAACACAAUAGCUUGAAUAAUGGCAUCAAUUAUUAUCAAACUUCAUUUCUCACUCUUGGAAAAAGUGAGUCAAUUGUUGUUAAGGUGAAUAGUUAUGUUAAUGUAAUAUGUUAGGAGUGAGAGGAUAAGGCAGAUGCAACGGUAAAGUUUGUUACUUAGUGACCAUGCACGAAUUUAAAUUCUCGAAACAAUCUAUGCUUAUGAGUUACGGCUAUAUACAUUAAACUCUACUAAGUAGGAGUCUCGUGCACUAGCCGACUUUUACUUUCUUUUUUUAAUAUGUUUAAGUUGAAAUGAUAGGAGGUUACCUGGUGUGAUGUCAAUGGUGAGAAUAGAGGAAGAGGGAGUAGGAGAUGAGAGGGGUGAAUGCAGUGAGAAGGAAUUGAAGAUUAGAAGAGCCAUGAUGUAUCUUUGAAAGUGCUAGUGUUAAUAUUGUUGCUUAUGAUAUCAUUUUAGAACAAGAUUGGAUUUGGUCUUCAUUUUCAGAUAAGCCACAAAGAUAGGUGGGUCCUCUACCCACUCAUUGUCUCAGUCUUUCUUCCUUACUAAUUAAGGGCUGUUUAGAUUAAUACUGAUAAACUAUAAUGUUUAAUAUAACAUUUUUGUUUGUAAAAUUCAAUAAAUAUUGUUAAUAUCAUAUAUCUUCUUCUCACUAAUAUGUCUAAAAGAAGUAUAAUUCACAUUUGACAAAUAUUUCUAAUCAUGACACUUCCACGUGUUAUGUGUUUCUAAUUAUUUAUUAUUUUGUUGAUAUUUUUUAAUAAUUAUGUUUCUUUUUUAUUUUCACAUUGUUUUUAUUUAGCAUACACAAAUACUUCUGAUUUCUGAAACAAUAAAAAUAAAAUUAAGUUAACUAAUUUCACUUAGAAAUAAAUAUAAAUAAAGAAGUUCGUAACAUUUUAUUUAAUUUCAGCUAGAUUAUUGUUCUUUCAAUUUAUUCAUGGUAGAAGAACAAAUUCAAAUUAGUUUAUAGCUUCCUUUCAUUUCUUCAUUUUCUUCACAAACUCAGGAUGAAAAAAAUUGGUGCUCAUGCAUAUUUUUUUAUUUCCCUUCUAUUUAGUGUCGGAAUCAAAUAAUAGAAAAUCACAUUUUCUACAACUUUUAUUUCUUGUUUUCUAUAUAACCAAACAUAGCGUUAGUGCAUAGUAACUCUGAAUCCCGAGAAAGCAUACUAGAAGUGAGUUCAAAAACUCUCCAGUAUUGGAAUGUCUAAUACUAGAAUAUGAGGAACAUCAAGACUUUGUUAAUUUUAAAAGUUAUUUUAUUAAAAAGUAACUUAAAAUCAUGACUGUUGAAAGUUUUUCUAUGACAUCAUAAUCUCUAUUUACUACUGGAUCCUAUCAGAAGACGGUCGAUUCAACAGAAGUGGUCAAGGUACAGUACUUUAAAAAAGAAACAGAAAUUCUUUCUACUCACAAGUUCUAAAACCUUUUUAUAUUGCCUCCUAAUUCCUAAGCAGAACAAGUAGAGAGUAGAUUAUACUUCAAAAGUUAAAACAAAUGUCUGUGUCAAAAUACUCAUUUCCAGCCAGAAUUAGCAGUAAUAUACCUUGUUACUAUUCUAUACUAAUUUAGUACUUGUUUACUUCAUCUUCUACAUAGAAAGCUCUUAUCUAACAUAACUCUUUGGUGUUAUGUUUUCUAAGAUAAUUUACUGAGUGUAUGAAAAGCUCAGUGAUAUAUUUAUCAUAUUCUUGCAGGUUAACAGUGAUCUUUCUAGCCUUUCAUGUAAUUUUUAUUAUCUUCUGCAUUGGGGUAUCAGGUCACUUCCUAAGUAUAUGUUUGGUCAAUCAAAUUCCUUGGUGAUGGUUGAUGACAAAAAGCAAUCAAGAAUUGGUUCAUGCAAUGGAAUCUAUAUUAGUCAACUUCAUGUCCAUCCAGAUUAUUCUGUGAGUACUGUGGCUUCUCCUAUAUCUUCCAUUCAGUAGUUCUUUAGUGUUAAUAACAUUUUGAUGGUUAAUUGACUUUUACCUCUUUCCAUGUCAAUGUUCAUUCCCUUUAACUGCCUAUCAGAUUUCAUGAGGGUUCAUGUCAAAUAUCAGUGUCUUUUCUUCAGUGUUGUUGUAAAGUGUUUAGGCUUAAAGCCCUUGGUAUCGUUGGUUCUUUUACAAAAUGUUGUGGACACUAACUUUUGUAUGUAUAUCUGAACACAGGAUCGUCUCAGCAUGAUGGGUUCAAAUCCUAAAAACAAUUUCUUCACUUGCGACGUUUUGCUCCUAUGAGGUUGCCCCUUGUGGUUUUUACCUUUACACCUUGUGGUUUUUUACCUUAACACUUAACCCCCGGAUUCAAAUGUUACCUCGUGAUCUUGGUCUGUUUUCCAUAACAGAGGACCAAAACUAACGAUUGGGUUCAUAAAAUCUCCAUCACUUUUCCCUUCUUGCGCCUCCAACCGCCAUGUGGUGAAGAACAUUCCAUUAGUCAUCUUUUUUUUGCAUGAAAUGAUAGAACUUGCUCUUUAUUUCGUUACUUAACAUGCACAUAACAUUCGAGAACAUAUUCCCUAGCAGUAAAACGCUGCAAAGUGGGACCAAGUAAACAUACAAAUCCACAAUGUUUCAUCUAUAAAGAUGAUGGUAGCAUGGAUUCCAAAUCAAAACCCUAUUUCAAUAUCAGAACCAAUUGGGGACUACCUGUUAGGAGUCUCACAUUGAGUAGAAUAGUAAACUUAAUGUGGUAUUUAAGCUAUGAGACUCUCCCACCUAAUAGACUAGUCUUUUGAGUCGAGCUCUCCUCGGACAUUAAGUCCUAACAAUUGGUGUCUUUCAUUGAGAGUUGCAUCACGGAAAGGGCUACUAUAGACUGGAUGUCGGUAUAUUACCGAAUACUCAUAGAUAGUGAAGCGUCAAAAUACGCUGAAGUUCUAGUCUUUUGGGUUGGGCUCUCCUCAUGGGGACUACCGAAUACGCUGAAGUUCUUGAGAAAAGUUAACAAAAAUACCGAAAUGCCAAUGGUGAUGCUAUAUGGGUAAAAUAUUCCUAAUGUUAAUACUUCCGUACUCUUAGCGUCAAGAAGCUUAAGGCUUUGUGAAUUGAACAACAUAAUAUUUUACUUAUGCAAUAAAUAAUGAAAUUUAUUUCAAGUACUUAGUUUUUAUGGAGAAAGAGAAUCAACAAGUGUGCACUAAUAAAUAAAAAGGAUGACUCAAUGCACUAGGCUUUCAUUCAGUGGGGUCUGGGGAGGAUACCUUACUCUCACAAGUGGAGAGAUUGUUUCCAAAAUUUGAAAUUGUGACUUCAUGAUCAUUAAAUAACAACCUUACCGUUGUGUCAAGCUCACCCUUUUUGUCCACCGAUAAAUAAAAUAAAAAAACUCAUUAGGGAAGACAUUGCUCCUUUGUCCCCAAUGAAAUGAUAGAAUUUAUCUUUAUUUUGCUACUGAUUUGUUUUCAUUACUUAACAUGCACUAAACUUAAAAGAACAAGAUUCUCAAGCUAUUAAAAACACUUCAAAAAUGAGAUCAAUCAAACAUCCAAGUACACCAGCCAUUCCAUCAAUAAAGAUGAUGGAGGCAUGGAUAUUCCAAAUCACAGCAGAAGUAUGGAUAAAGAAUAGCUAGAUUCUGCAUUUAGGAAACGCAAAAUAUGAUUGAUUACCAUGCUAGCAUCAGACCACAGAAUUCUUUUCAUUACCCAACAUUUUUUCCAGUGAAAUGAUAAUUUUUGAUUUUUUGGUAAUUUCUCGUGACUAAUUUUAUUUACAUAAUUUGUAGAACAUAUUCCCAAGUAUCAAAACAAAACCCGAGAAUGGGAUCAAUCACACAUAAAAAAUACACCAAUCAUUUCAUAUAUAAACAUGAUGGUGAGAGAUGGAUUCGAAAUCAAACCACCAAUUUCAACAUCAGAACCAAAUAGGGAGUUAGGGACUGCUACAUACAUUAACAUUAAACAUUCUUCAUUGAAAAUUAACAAAAUUGUCAAAAUACACAAGACAUUAUGGAUGAGUAAGAUUGAUGGUCAAACCUGUAAAAAGCAUGUUGUAAUUGUUAUAGUUCAAACAUUCUUCAAUUUCUUCAUCUUAGAAGGUGGCCAUCUACCCUUCUUCCUCAACUUUCGCUUCCUGACUAGCCUUUUCCUCCUCAACCUUAUCUUCUUAGCUA